This 1145-nucleotide ribosomal RNA is filed under the name human gut metagenome. RNAcentral describes it as "bacterial SSU rRNA". It matches the Rfam family "Bacterial small subunit ribosomal RNA", at positions 365 to 1520 of the family's 1533-position model. The record is from RNAcentral.
UGGUCAAUGGCCGAGAGGCUGAACCAGCCAAGUCGCGUGAAGGAAGAAGGAUCUAUGGUUUGUAAACUUCUUUUAUAGGGGAAUAAAGUGGAGGACGUGUCCUUUUUUGUAUGUACCCUAUGAAUAAGCAUCGGCUAACUCCGUGCCAGCAGCCGCGGUAAUACGGAGGAUCCGAGCGUUAUCCGGAUUUAUUGGGUUUAAAGGGUGCGUAGGUGGUGAUUUAAGUCAGCGGUGAAAGUUUGUGGCUCAACCAUAAAAUUGCCGUUGAAACUGGGUUACUUGAGUGUGUUUGAGGUAGGCGGAAUGCGUGGUGUAGCGGUGAAAUGCAUAGAUAUCACGCAGAACUCCGAUUGCGAAGGCAGCUUACUAAACCAUAACUGACACUGAAGCACGAAAGCGUGGGGAUCAAACAGGAUUAGAUACCCUGGUAGUCCACGCAGUAAACGAUGAUUACUAGGAGUUUGCGAUACAAUGUAAGCUCUACAGCGAAAGCGUUAAGUAAUCCACCUGGGGAGUACGCCGGCAACGGUGAAACUCAAAGGAAUUGACGGGGGCCCGCACAAGCGGAGGAACAUGUGGUUUAAUUCGAUGAUACGCGAGGAACCUUACCCGGGUUUGAACGUAGUCUGACCGGAGUGGAAACACUCCUUCUAGCAAUAGCAGAUUACGAGGUGCUGCAUGGUUGUCGUCAGCUCGUGCCGUGAGGUGUCGGCUUAAGUGCCAUAACGAGCGCAACCCUUAUCACUAGUUACUAACAGGUGAAGCUGAGGACUCUGGUGAGACUGCCAGCGUAAGCUGUGAGGAAGGUGGGGAUGACGUCAAAUCAGCACGGCCCUUACAUCCGGGGCGACACACGUGUUACAAUGGCAUGGACAAAGGGCAGCUACCUGGCGACAGGAUGCUAAUCUCCAAACCAUGUCUCAGUUCGGAUCGGAGUCUGCAACUCGACUCCGUGAAGCUGGAUUCGCUAGUAAUCGCGCAUCAGCCAUGGCGCGGUGAAUACGUUCCCGGGCCUUGUACACACCGCCCGUCAAGCCAUGGGAGCCGGGGGUACCUGAAGUCCGUAACCGCAAGGAUCGGCCUAGGGUAAAACUGGUGACUGGGGCUAAGUCGUAACAAGGUAGCCGUACCGGAAGGUGCGGCUG